ACAAACUAACAUUAGAAGAAAGAAAUUUUACAUAUUCUUAUUGAAAAGACGUUGUACAAUUUAUUGCUUUGACUAUUCCCUAAAAUAACACUCUCUUAAAACUAACAUAUUUACAAAGUAGGUAAGGCACUUAAGACAGUUCCUUACUCAUUUCUGACUAGUACAAAGACAGUGCAUCUACUAUCACACCUGCAAACGUAAUAAUAAACAGACCACAAAUGAACUUCGACAUACUAUGCAACUUCUACUAAUCAUCUUAUGAUAUCUUUGCUAGAAAUAAGCAUAUUCAAAGGGAGAGACAUACUAGUGUUUCACGUAUCAUCUGUCACGUUGUAUCAUUUUAAGUACCAGAUGAUGAUUGAAGCUUUCGGAUGAGUCUGUUAAGAGCCACUAGCCAAAAAGCAG
RNAcentral lists this unclassified non-coding RNA (405 nucleotides) under Hevea brasiliensis (rubber tree). Lineage: Eukaryota; Viridiplantae; Streptophyta; Magnoliopsida; Malpighiales; Euphorbiaceae. The record is from RNAcentral.